Molecule: non-coding RNA, 85 nt
Organism: Lentinula aff. lateritia
Lineage: Eukaryota; Fungi; Basidiomycota; Agaricomycetes; Agaricales; Omphalotaceae
Source: the annotation of a GenBank genome assembly
GUCCCCGUAGAUUAGUGGUUAGAUCAUCACGUUGUGGCUUCUAUGCGCAUCCGUGGAGACCCAGGCUCGACUCCUGGCAGGGACA